UACGGGGGGGGCAAGCGUUGUUCGGAAUUACUGGGCGUAAAGGGUCCGUAGGUGGCCCGCUAAGUCACACGUGAAAUCCCUCAGCUUAACUGGGGAACUGCGUGUGAGACUGGCAGGCUUGAGUGCAGGAGAGGAACGCGGAAUUCCAGGUGUAGCGGUGAAAUGCGUAGAUAUCUGGAGGAACACCGGUGGCGAAGGCGGCGUUCUGGACUGUAUCUGACACUGAUGGACGAAAGCCAGGGGAGCAAACGGG
This 253-nucleotide ribosomal RNA is filed under the name uncultured bacterium. RNAcentral describes it as "partial 16S ribosomal RNA". It matches the Rfam family "Bacterial small subunit ribosomal RNA", at positions 524 to 776 of the family's 1533-position model. The record is from RNAcentral.